ACACAGAGGGUGCACGCGUUAAUCGGAAUAACUGGGCGUAAAUCGCGCGUAGGUGGUUCAGUAAGAUGGAAGUGAAAUCCCCGGGCUUAACCUGGGAACUGCUUUCAUAACUGCUGAGCUAGAGUACGGUAGAGGGUAGUGGAAUUUCAUGUGUCGCGGUGAAAUGCGUAGGUAUAGGAAGGAACACCAGUGGAGAAGGCGCCUACUUGAACUGAUACUGAAACUGAGGUGCAAAAGUGUGGGGAGCAAACAGGAUUCGAUACCCUGGUAGUCCACGCCGUAAACGAUGUCAACUAGCCGUUGGGAACCUUGAGUUCUUAGUGGCGCAGCUAACGCACUAAGUUGACCGCCUGGGGAGUACGGUCGCAAGAUUAAAACUCAAAUGAAUUGACGGGG
This 396-nucleotide ribosomal RNA is filed under the name uncultured bacterium. RNAcentral's name for it is "partial 16S ribosomal RNA". It matches the Rfam family "Bacterial small subunit ribosomal RNA", at positions 523 to 918 of the family's 1533-position model. The record is from RNAcentral.